UAGGGAAUUUUGCGCAAUGGACGAAAGUCUGACGCAGCAACACCGCGUGAGUGAUGAAGCAUCUUGGUGUGUAAAACUCUGUCAGAGGGGACGAAUUUUGACGGUACCCUCAAAGGAAGCAUCGGCUAACUACGUGCCAGCAGCCGCGGUAAGACGUAGGAUGCGAGCGUUGUCCGGAAUUAUUGGGCGUAAAGAGUUCGUAGGCGGCAUGUAAAGUCUGGUGUUAAAGCCCGGAGCUCAACUCCGGUUAGGCAUUGGAUACUUACAAGCUAGAGUGCAGAAGAGGCAAGGGGAAUUCCUAGUGUAGCGGUGAAAUGCGUAGAUAUUAGGAGGAACACCGGUGGCGUAAGCGCCUUGCUGGGCUGUAACUGACGCUGAGGAACGAAAGCCAGGGGAGCAAAUG
This 403-nucleotide ribosomal RNA is filed under the name uncultured prokaryote. Its description in RNAcentral is "bacterial SSU rRNA". It matches the Rfam family "Bacterial small subunit ribosomal RNA", at positions 355 to 774 of the family's 1533-position model. The record is from RNAcentral.